GCUUAACACAUGCAAGUCGAGGGGCAGCAUGGUCUUAGCUUGCUAAGACUGAUGGCGACCGGCGCACGGGUGAGUAACACGUAUCCAACCUGCCGUCUACUCUUGGACAGCCUUCUGAAAGGAAGAUUAAUACAAGAUGGCAUCAUGAGUCCGCAUGUUCACAUGAUUAAAGGUAUUCCGGUAGACGAUGGGGAUGCGUUCCAUUAGAUAGUAGGCGGGGUAACGGCCCACCUAGUCUUCGAUGGAUAGGGGUUCUGAGAGGAAGGUCCCCCACAUUGGAACUGAGACACGGUCCAAACUCCUACGGGAGGCAGCAGUGAGGAAUAUUGGUCAAUGGGCGAGAGCCUGAACCAGCCAAGUAGCGUGAAGGAUGACUGCCCUAUGGGUUGUAAACUUCUUUUAUAAAGGAAUAAAGUCGGGUAUGGAUACCCGUUUGCAUGUGCUUUAUGAAUAAGGAUCGGCUAACUCCGUGCCAGCAGCCGCGGUAAUACGGAGGAUCCGAGCGUUAUCCGGAUUUAUUGGGUUUAAAGGGAGCGUAGAUGGAUGUUUAAGUCAGUUGUGAAAGUUUGCGGCUCAACCGUAAAAUUGCAGUUGAUACUGGAUAUCUUGAGUGCAGUUGAGGCAGGCGGAAUUCGUGGUGUAGCGGUGAAAUGCUUAGAUAUCACGAAGAACUCCGAUUGCGAAGGCAGCCUGCUAAGCUGCAACUGACAUUGAGGCUCGAAAGUGUGGGUAUCAAACAGGAUUAGAUACCCUGGUAGUCCACACGGUAAACGAUGAAUACUCGCUGUUUGCGAUAUACUGCAAGCGGCCAAGCGAAAGCGUUAAGUAUUCCACCUGGGGAGUACGCCGGCAACGGUGAAACUCAAAGGAAUUGACGGGGGCCCGCACAAGCGGAGGAACAUGUGGUUUAAUUCGAUGAUACGCGAGGAACCUUACCCGGGCUUAAAUUGCAGAUGAAUUACGGUGAAAGCCGUAAGCCGCAAGGCAUCUGUGAAGGUGCUGCAUGGUUGUCGUCAGCUCGUGCCGUGAGGUGUCGGCUUAAGUGCCAUAACGAGCGCAACCCUUGUUGUCAGUUACUAACAGGUUCCGCUGAGGACUCUGACAAGACUGCCAUCGUAAGAUGUGAGGAAGGUGGGGAUGACGUCAAAUCAGCACGGCCCUUACGUCCGGGGCUACACACGUGUUACAAUGGGGGGUACAGAGGGCCGCUACCACGCGAGUGGAUGCCAAUCCCCAAAACCUCUCUCAGUUCGGACUGGAGUCUGCAACCCGACUCCACGAAGCUGGAUUCGCUAGUAAUCGCGCAUCAGCCACGGCGCGGUGAAUACGUUCCCGGGCCUUGUACACACCGCCCGUCAAGCCAUGGGAGCCGGGGGUACCUGAAGUGCGUAACCGCGAGGAGCGCCCUAGGGUAAAACUGGUGACUGGGGCUAAGUA
Molecule: ribosomal RNA, 1437 nt
Filed under: uncultured organism
Description: SSU rRNA
Rfam family: Bacterial small subunit ribosomal RNA
Source: RNAcentral